RNAcentral lists this ribosomal RNA (465 nucleotides) under uncultured bacterium. RNAcentral describes it as "partial 16S ribosomal RNA". It matches the Rfam family "Bacterial small subunit ribosomal RNA", at positions 28 to 507 of the family's 1533-position model. The record is from RNAcentral.
GACGAACGCUGGCGGCGUGCUUAACACAUGCCAGUCGUACGGUAAGGCCCUUUCGGGGGUACACGAGUGGCGAACGGGUGAGUAACACGUGAGUAACCUGCCCACAACUUUGGGAUAACGCUAGGAAACUGGUGCUAAUACUGGAUAUGUGCUCCUGCUGCAUGGUGGGGGUUGGAAAGCUCCGGCGGUUGUGGAUGGACUCGCGGCCUAUCAGCUUGUUGGUGGGGUAGUGGCCUACCAAGGCGGCGACGGGUAGCCGGCCUGAGAGGGUGACCGGCCACAUUGGGACUGAGAUACGGCCCAGACUCCUACGGGAGGCAGCAGUGGGGAAGAUUGCACAAUGGGCGCAAGCCUGAUGCAGCAACGCCGCGUGCGGGAUGACGGCCUUCGGGUUGUAAACCGCUUUCAGCAGGGACGAAGCUUUUUGUGACGGUACCUGCAGAAGAAGCACCGGCUAACUACGUG